GGGUUGUGAGGUUAAGCGACUAAGCGUACACGGUGGAUGCCCUGGCAGUCAGAGGCGAUGAAGGACGUGCUAAUCUGCGAUAAGCGUCGGUAAGGUGAUAUGAACCGUUAUAACCGGCGAUUUCCGAAUGGGGAAACCCAGUGUGUUUCGACACACUAUCAUUAACUGAAUCCAUAGGUUAAUGAGGCGAACCGGGGGAACUGAAACAUCUAAGUACCCCGAGGAAAAGAAAUCAACCGAGAUUCCCCCAGUAGCGGCGAGCGAACGGGGAGCAGCCCAGAGCCUGAAUCAGUGUGUGUGUUAGUGGAAGCGUCUGGAAAGGCGCGCGAUACAGGGUGACAGCCCCGUACACAAAAAUGCACAUAUUGUGAGCUCGAUGAGUAGGGCGGGACACGUGGUAUCCUGUCUGAAUAUGGGGGGACCAUCCUCCAAGGCUAAAUACUCCUGACUGACCGAUAGUGAACCAGUACCGUGAGGGAAAGGCGAAAAGAACCCCGGCGAGGGGAGUGAAAAAGAACCUGAAACCGUGUACGUACAAGCAGUGGGAGCCUCUUUUAUGGGGUGACUGCGUACCUUUUGUAUAAUGGGUCAGCGACUUAUAUUCUGUAGCAAGGUUAACCGAAUAGGGGAGCCGAAGGGAAACCGAGUCUUAACUGGGCGUUAAGUUGCAGGGUAUAGACCCGAAACCCGGUGAUCUAGCCAUGGGCAGGUUGAAGGUUGGGUAACACUAACUGGAGGACCGAACCGACUAAUGUUGAAAAAUUAGCGGAUGACUUGUGGCUGGGGGUGAAAGGCCAAUCAAACCGGGAGAUAGCUGGUUCUCCCCGAAAGCUAUUUAGGUAGCGCCUCGUGAAUUCAUCUCCGGGGGUAGAGCACUGUUUCGGCAAGGGGGUCAUCCCGACUUACCAACCCGAUGCAAACUGCGAAUACCGGAGAAUGUUAUCACGGGAGACACACGGCGGGUGCUAACGUCCGUCGUGAAGAGGGAAACAACCCAGACCGCCAGCUAAGGUCCCAAAGUCAUGGUUAAGUGGGAAACGAUGUGGGAAGGCCCAGACAGCCAGGAUGUUGGCUUAGAAGCAGCCAUCAUUUAAAGAAAGCGUAAUAGCUCACUGGUCGAGUCGGCCUGCGCGGAAGAUGUAACGGGGCUAAACCAUGCACCGAAGCUGCGGCAGCGACGCUGAUGCGUUGUUGGGUAGGGGAGCGUUCUGUAAGCCUGUGAAGGUGUACUGUGAGGUAUGCUGGAGGUAUCAGAAGUGCGAAUGCUGACAUAAGUAACGAUAAAGCGGGUGAAAAGCCCGCUCGCCGGAAGACCAAGGGUUCCUGUCCAACGUUAAUCGGGGCAGGGUGAGUCGACCCCUAAGGCGAGGCCGAAAGGCGUAGUCGAUGGGAAACAGGUUAAUAUUCCUGUACUUGGUGUUACUGCGAAGGGGGGACGGAGAAGGCUAUGUUGGCCGGGCGACGGUUGUCCCGGUUUAAGCGUGUAGGCUGGUUUUCCAGGCAAAUCCGGAAAAUCAAGGCUGAGGCGUGAUGACGAGGCACUACGGUGCUGAAGCAACAAAUGCCCUGCUUCCAGGAAAAGCCUCUAAGCAUCAGGUAACAUUGAAUCGUACCCCAAACCGACACAGGUGGUCAGGUAGAGAAUACCAAGGCGCUUGAGAGAACUCGGGUGAAGGAACUAGGCAAAAUGGUGCCGUAACUUCGGGAGAAGGCACGCUGAUAUGUAGGUGAAGUCCCUCGCGGAUGGAGCUGAAAUCAGUCGAAGAUACCAGCUGGCUGCAACUGUUUAUUAAAAACACAGCACUGUGCAAACACGAAAGUGGACGUAUACGGUGUGACGCCUGCCCGGUGCCGGAAGGUUAAUUGAUGGGGUCAGCGCAAGCGAAGCUCUUGAUCGAAGCCCCGGUAAACGGCGGCCGUAACUAUAACGGUCCUAAGGUAGCGAAAUUCCUUGUCGGGUAAGUUCCGACCUGCACGAAUGGCGUAAUGAUGGCCAGGCUGUCUCCACCCGAGACUCAGUGAAAUUGAACUCGCUGUGAAGAUGCAGUGUACCCGCGGCAAGACGGAAAGACCCCGUGAACCUUUACUAUAGCUUGACACUGAACAUUGAGCCUUGAUGUGUAGGAUAGGUGGGAGGCUUAGAAGUGUGGACGCCAGUCUACAUGGAGCCGACCUUGAAAUACCACCCUUUAAUGUUUGAUGUUCUAACGUUGACCCGUAAUCCGGGUUGCGGACAGUGUCUGGUGGGUAGUUUGACUGGGGCGGUCUCCUCCUAAAGAGUAACGGAGGAGCACGAAGGUUGGCUAAUCCUGGUCGGACAUCAGGAGGUUAGUGCAAUGGCAUAAGCCAGCUUGACUGCGAGCGUGACGGCGCGAGCAGGUGCGAAAGCAGGUCAUAGUGAUCCGGUGGUUCUGAAUGGAAGGGCCAUCGCUCAACGGAUAAAAGGUACUCCGGGGAUAACAGGCUGAUACCGCCCAAGAGUUCAUAUCGACGGCGGUGUUUGGCACCUCGAUGUCGGCUCAUCACAUCCUGGGGCUGAAGUAGGUCCCAAGGGUAUGGCUGUUCGCCAUUUAAAGUGGUACGCGAGCUGGGUUUAGAACGUCGUGAGACAGUUCGGUCCCUAUCUGCCGUGGGCGCUGGAGAACUGAGGGGGGCUGCUCCUAGUACGAGAGGACCGGAGUGGACGCAUCACUGGUGUUCGGGUUGUCAUGCCAAUGGCACUGCCCGGUAGCUAAAUGCGGAAGAGAUAAGUGCUGAAAGCAUCUAAGCACGAAACUUGCCCCGAGAUGAGUUCUCCCUGACCCUUUAAGGGUCCUGAAGGAACGUUGAAGACGACGACGUUGAUAGGCCGGGUGUGUAAGCGCAGCGAUGCGUUGAGCUAACCGGUACUAAUGAACCGUGAGGCUUAACCUUACAACGCCGAAGGUGUUU
This 2931-nucleotide ribosomal RNA is filed under the name Escherichia coli. RNAcentral describes it as "23S ribosomal RNA". It matches the Rfam family "Bacterial large subunit ribosomal RNA". The record is from RNAcentral. Lineage: Bacteria; Pseudomonadati; Pseudomonadota; Gammaproteobacteria; Enterobacterales; Enterobacteriaceae.